RNAcentral lists this ribosomal RNA (468 nucleotides) under uncultured bacterium. Its description in RNAcentral is "partial 16S ribosomal RNA". It matches the Rfam family "Bacterial small subunit ribosomal RNA", at positions 28 to 507 of the family's 1533-position model. The record is from RNAcentral.
GACGAACGCUGGCGGCGUGCUUAACACAUGCAAGUCGAACGGAAAGGCCCUGCUUUUUUGGGGUGCUCGAGUGGCGAACGGGUGAGUAACACGUGAGUAACCUGCCCUUGACUUUGGGAUAACUUCAGGAAACUGGGGCUAAUACCCGAUAGGAGCUCCUGCUGCAUGGUGGGGGUUGGAAAGUUUCGGCGGUUGGGGAUGGACUCGCGGCUUAUCAGCUUGUUGGUGGGGUAGUGGCUUACCAAGGCUUUGACGGGUAGCCGGCCUGAGAGGGUGACCGGCCACAUUGGGACUGAGAUACGGCCCAGACUCCUACGGGAGGCAGCAGUGGGGAAUAUUGCACAAUGGGCGGAAGCCUGAUGCAGCAACGCCGCGUGCGGGAUGACGGCCUUCGGGUUGUAAACCGCUUUCGCCUGUGACGAAGCGUGAGUGACGGUAAUGGGUAAAGAAGCACCGGCUAACUACGUG